RNAcentral lists this ribosomal RNA (497 nucleotides) under uncultured bacterium. RNAcentral's name for it is "partial 16S ribosomal RNA". It matches the Rfam family "Bacterial small subunit ribosomal RNA", at positions 28 to 507 of the family's 1533-position model. The record is from RNAcentral.
GAUGAACGCUGGCGGCGUGCCUAAUACAUGCAAGUCGAGCGAACGGACGAGAAGCUUGCUUCUCUGAUGUUAGCGGCGGACGGGUGAGUAACACGUGGAUAACCUACCUAUAAGACUGGGAUAACUUCGGGAAACCGGAGCUAAUACCGGAUAAUAUUUUGAACCGCAUGGUUCAAAAGUGAAAGACGGUCUUGCUGUCACUGAUAGAUGGAUCCGCGCUGCAUUAGCUAGUUGGUAAGGUAACGGCUUACCAUGGCAACGAUGCAUAGCCGACCUGAGAGGGUGAUCGGCCACACUGGCACUGAGACACGGUCCAGACUCCUACGGGAGGCCGCAGUAGGGAAUCUUACGCAAUGGGCCAAAGCCUGACGGAGCAACACCGCGUGAGUGAUGAAGGUCUUCGGAUCGUAAAACUCUGUUAUUAGGGAAGAACAUAUGUGUAAGUACCUGUGCACAUCUUGACGGUACCUAAUCAGAAAGCCCCGGCUAACUCCGUG